GGCGGCGUGCCUAAUACAUGCAAGUCGAGCGAGCGGAACUAACAGAUUUACUUCGGUAAUGACGUUAGGAAAGCGAGCGGCGGAUGGGUGAGUAACACGUGGGGAACCUGCCCCAUAGUCUGGGAUACCACUUGGAAACAGGUGCUAAUACCGGAUAAGAAAGCAGAUCGCAUGAUCAGCUUUUAAACGGCGGCGUAAGCUGUCGCUAUGGGAUGGCCCCGCGGUGCAUUAGCUAAUUAGUAAGGUAAAGGCUUACCAAGGCGAUGAUGCAUAGCCGAGUUGAGAGACUGAUCGGCCACAUUGGGACUGACACACGGCCCAAACUCCUACGGGAGGCAGCAGUAGGGAAUCUUCCACAAUGGACGCAAGUCUGAUGGAGCAACGCCGCGUGAGUGAAGAAGGUUUUCGGAUCGUAAAGCUCUGUUGUUGGUGAAGAAGGAUAGAGGUAGUAACUGGCCUUUAUUUGACGGUAAUCAACCAGAAAGUCACGGCUAACUACGUGCCAGCAGCCGCGGUAAUACGUAGGUGGCAAGCGUUGUCCGGAUUUAUUGGGCGUAAAGCGAGCGCAUGCGGAAGAAUAAGUCUGAUGUGAAAGCCCUCGGCUUAACCGAGGAACUGCAUCGGAAACUGUUUUUCUUGAGUGCAGAAGAGGAGAGUGGAACUCCAUGUGUAGCGGUGGAAUGCGUAGAUAUAUGGAAGAACACCAGUGGCGAAGGCGGCUCUCUGGUCUGCAACUGACGCUGAGGCUCGAAAGCAUGGGUAGCGAACAGGAUUAGAUACCCUGGUAGUCCAUGCCGUAAACGAUGAGUGCUAAGUGUUGGGAGGUUUCCGCCUCUCAGUGCUGCAGCUAACGCAUUAAGCACUCCGCCUGGGGAGUACGACCGCAAGGUUGAAACUCAAAGGAAUUGACGGGGGCCCGCACAAGCGGUGGAGCAUGUGGUUUAAUUCGAAGCAACGCGAAGAACCUUACCAGGUCUUGACAUCUAGUGUCAUUUGUAGAGAUACAAAGUUCCCUUCGGGGACGCUAAGACAGGUGGUGCAUGGCUGUCGUCAGCUCGUGUCGUGAGAUGUUGGGUUAAGUCCCGCAACGAGCGCAACCCUUGUUAUUAGUUGCCAGCAUUAAGUUGGGCACUCUAAUGAGACUGCCGGUGACAAACCGGAGGAAGGUGGGGAUGACGUCAAGUCAUCAUGCCCCUUAUGACCUGGGCUACACACGUGCUACAAUGGGCAGUACAACGAGAAGCGAGCCUGCGAAGGCAAGCGAAUCUCUGAAAGCUGUUCUCAGUUCGGACUGCAGUCUGCAACUCGACUGCACGAAGCUGGAAUCGCUAGUAAUCGCGGAUCAGCACGCCGCGGUGAAUACGUUCCCGGGCCUUGUACACACCGCCCGUCACACCAUGGGAGUCUGCAAUGCCCAAAGCCGGUGGCCUAACCUUCGGGAAGGAGCCGUCUAAGGCAGGGCAGAUGACUGGGGUGAAGUC
Molecule: ribosomal RNA, 1481 nt
Filed under: uncultured organism
Description: 16S ribosomal RNA
Rfam family: Bacterial small subunit ribosomal RNA
Source: RNAcentral